GACGAACGCUGGCGGCGUGCUUAACACAUGCAAGUCGAACGGAAAGGCCCUUCGGGGUUCUCGAGUGGCGAACGGGUGAGUAACACGUGGGUGAUCUGCCCUGCACUUUGGGAUAAGCCUGGGAAACUGGGUCUAAUACCGAAUAGGACCACGCGCUUCAUGGUGUGUGGUGGAAAGCUUUUGCGGUGUGGGAUGGGCCCGCGGCCGAUCAGCUUGUUGGUGGGGUAAUGGCCUACCAAGGCGACGACGGGUAGCCGGCCUGGGAGGGUGACCGGCCACACUGGGACUGAGAUACGGCCCAGACUCCUACGGGAGGCAGCAGUGGGGAAUAUUGCACAAUGGGCGCAAGCCUGAUGCAGCGACGCCGCGUGAGGGAUGACGGCCUUCGGGUUGUAAACCUCUUUCACCAGGGACGAAGCGUAAGUGACGGUACCUGGAGAAGAAGCACCGGCCAACUACGUG
Molecule: ribosomal RNA, 462 nt
Filed under: uncultured bacterium
Lineage: Bacteria
Description: partial 16S ribosomal RNA
Rfam family: Bacterial small subunit ribosomal RNA
Source: RNAcentral